This 345-nucleotide unclassified non-coding RNA is filed under the name soil metagenome. Its description in RNAcentral is "partial contains 5.8S ribosomal RNA, internal transcribed spacer 2, and large subunit ribosomal RNA". The stretch from base 1 to 120 matches the Rfam family "5.8S ribosomal RNA", at positions 35 to 154 of the family's 154-position model. The record is from RNAcentral.
GAUGAAGAACGUAGCGAAAUGCGAUACGUAAUGUGAAUUGCAGAAUUCAGUGAAUCAUCGAGUCUUUGAACGCACAUUGCGCCCUCUGGUAUUCCGGAGGGCAUGCCUGUCCGAGCGUCAUUGCUGCCCUCAAGCACGGCUUGUGUGUUGGGCUCCGUCCCCCGAUCCCGGGGGACGGGCCCGAAAGGCAGCGGCGGUACCGCGUCCGGUCCUCGAGCGUAUGGGGCUUUGUCACCCGCUCUGUAGGCCCGGCCGGCGCUUGCCGAUCAACCAAAUUUUUAUCCAGGUUGACCUCGGAUCAGGUAGGGAUACCCGCUGAACUUAAGCAUAUCAAUAAGCGGAGGA